ACACGUCAUCUCUGUGCUUCUUUGUCUACACUUCUGGAAAAAGUAAGUGAUUACUGACGCCAUUGCUCUUUCCCGAAUGUAGACAAAGCAAUACCGUGAUGACGUUAU
This 108-nucleotide microRNA precursor is filed under the name Arabidopsis suecica. Its description in RNAcentral is "MIR158". It matches the Rfam family "MIR158 microRNA precursor family". Lineage: Eukaryota; Viridiplantae; Streptophyta; Magnoliopsida; Brassicales; Brassicaceae. The record is from RNAcentral.